Molecule: ribosomal RNA, 462 nt
Filed under: uncultured bacterium
Lineage: Bacteria
Description: partial 16S ribosomal RNA
Rfam family: Bacterial small subunit ribosomal RNA
Source: RNAcentral
GACGAACGCUGGCGGCGUGCUUAACACAUGCAAGUCGAACGGAAAGGCCCUUCGGGGUACUCGAGUGGCGAACGGGUGAGUAACACGUGGGUGAUCUGCCCUGCACCUUGGGAUAAGCCUGGGAAACUGGGUCUAAUACCGAAUAGGACCACGCGCUUCAUGGUGUGUGGUGGAAAGCUUUUGCGGUGUGGGAUGGGCCCGCGGCCUAUCAGCUUGUUGGUGGGGUAAUGGCCUACCAAGGCGACGACGGGUAGCCGGCCUGAGAGGGUGACCGGCCACACUGGGACUGAGAUACGGCCCAGACUCCUACGGGAGGCAGCAGUGGGGAAUAUUGCACAAUGGGCGCAAGCCUGAUGCAGCGACGCCGCGUGAGGGAUGACGGCCUUCGGGUUGUAAACCUCUUUCAAUAGGGACGAAGCGCAAGUGACGGUACCUAUAGAAGAAGCACCGGCCAACUACGUG